Molecule: ribosomal RNA, 497 nt
Filed under: uncultured bacterium
Lineage: Bacteria
Description: partial 16S ribosomal RNA
Rfam family: Bacterial small subunit ribosomal RNA
Source: RNAcentral
GAUGAACGCUGGCGGCGUGCCUAAUACAUGCAAGUCGAGCGAACAGAUGAGGAGCUUGCUCCUCUGACGUUAGCGGCGGACGGGUGAGUAACACGUGGAUAACCUACCUAUAAGACUGGGAUAACUUCGGGAAACCGGAGCUAAUACCGGAUAAUAUAUUGAACCGCAUGGUUCAAUAGUGAAAGACGGUUUUGCUGUCACUUAUAGAUGGAUCCGCGCCGCAUUAGCUAGUUGGUAAGGUAACGGCUUACCAAGGCAACGAUGCGUAGCCGACCUGAGAGGGUGAUCGGCCACACUGGAACUGAGACACGGUCCAGACUCCUACGGGAGGCAGCAGUAGGGAAUCUUCCGCAAUGGGCGAAAGCCUGACGGAGCAACGCCGCGUGAGUGAUGAAGGUCUUCGGAUCGUAAAACUCUGUGAUUAGGGGAGAACAAAUGUGUAAGUAACUAUGCACGUCUUGACGGUACCUAAUCAGAAAGCCACGGCUAACUACGCG